GAUGAACGCUAGCUACAGGCUUAACACAUGCAAGUCGAGGGGAAACGAUAUUGGAAGCUUGCUUCCGAUAGGCGUCGACCGGCGCACGGGUGAGUAACGCGUAUCCAACCUGCCCACCACUUGGGGAUAACCUUGCGAAAGUAAGACUAAUACCCAAUGAUAUCUCUAGAAGACAUCUGAAGGAGAUUAAAGAUUUAUCGGUGAUGGAUGGGGAUGCGUCUGAUUAGCUUGUUGGCGGGGUAACGGCCCACCAAGGCGACGAUCAGUAGGGGUGCUGAGAGGAAGGUCCCCCACAUUGGAAAUUGGGUACGGUCCAAACUCCUACGGGAGGCAGCAGUGAGGAAUAUUGGUCAAUGGGCGAGAGCCUGAACCAGCAAAGUAGCGUGCAGGAUGACGGCCCUAUGGGUUGUAAACUGCUUUUAUAAGGGAAUAAAGUGAGCCUCGUGAGGCUUUUUGCAUGUACCUUAUGAAUAAGGACCGGCUAAUUCCGUGCCAGCAGCCGCCGUAA
RNAcentral lists this ribosomal RNA (508 nucleotides) under uncultured bacterium. RNAcentral's name for it is "partial 16S ribosomal RNA". It matches the Rfam family "Bacterial small subunit ribosomal RNA", at positions 28 to 523 of the family's 1533-position model. The record is from RNAcentral.